Molecule: small RNA, 28 nt
Filed under: Bombyx mori (domestic silkworm)
Lineage: Eukaryota; Metazoa; Arthropoda; Insecta; Lepidoptera; Bombycidae
Description: ovarian small RNA-8393
Source: RNAcentral
UGAUUAUAGAAGACAUCCUGAAAAUCCC